CCAGGAGAGAGCGCCCGGCCCCUCCGUGUCGCCAGGCUCUUAAUGUUAACUGAAGGUUUAUCUGUGUAGUCGUGGCUGUCCUGGAACUGACCUUGAACUCAGGGAUCCGCCUGCCAUUGCCUCCCGGGUGCUGGGAUUAAAGGAUUGCGCCACCACUGCCAGGUGAGCAAUACUUUCAUAGACAGGUCUCGCUGUGUAGCCCAGGCUGGCCUAAAAUUCACAGAACUAGGACUGCCUCUGCCUCCCAAAGGAUUAAAGGUCUUGAGGUGGUAGCCUAGACUUGCCUCAGACUUAUCUUGCUUCAACCACCCAAGGGUAGGGAUUUAAAACGUGAGCCAUUGCACCCAACAACGAUUAUUUUAAACUUUUUAUUUUAAAUUAUGUUUAUAUCCACAUGAGUUGGUGCCCUUGAAGGCCUGAGGCCUUUGAUCCUUGGAGCUGGAGUUACAGGCAGUCAUGAGCUACCUGACAUGGAUGCUGGGAACUGAACUUGGGUCCUUUGUAAGAUUACCAUCUUUCCAGACCCAACAAUACAUAAUUGGAAAAACUAAAUCUUAUUUUAAAAAAUGACAUGUGUGCUGGGCCGUGGUGGCACACACCUUUAAUCCCAGCAGAGGAAAGUGAAUUAAAAGCCAGCCUAGUCUAGAGAGAGCUUCAGGACAUCCAAGGCUACACAGAGAAAUCCUGUCUCAGGAAGAAAACCAAACCAAACCCCACUUUUAUGUGUGUAUGUGCAUGGGUGUACAUAUACCACGUUGUGCUUAUGGGGGUUGGAGGACAACUUGCAGAAGUUGAUUCUCUCUGUAACAGAGCCCCAGACCUUAGCACAACUGACUCCAUGAUGGAAGUACCAUUCGGUCUGUAAAAUUCAUCGCAUGGACAGCACCAACAGCCAAAAGUUAAAGACCUAAUACAUCAAAGUCCAAAGUUAUGGUAAAAUAUCUAAAUUGCACUAACAUUGCUUUUUGGCUUCUGUAGUCCCGCUUCUGGUUAACUGUUCUUGUUACCCGAACGAAGUAUGUCAACCCAGAACAUGGUUUUUGUGCUUAAAAACACACCCUGAGAAAGGCUCACCAGGCUAGCCUGGGAUCCUGAACAUCCAGUGUAGGAUUUUCAGAUUUCCUCUUGGCUUAACCCCAUGUUGGAACAGUCUUUUCUGGUGAAUGCCCCCACACACUCUCUUUCCACCAUGUGGGUUCCCAGGGAUCAAAUUCAGGCUUAGCAGCAAGCAUCUUUACCCACUGGGCCACUAACUGCCUCUCUCCCACAUUGAGGCUUAGUUUCAUGUAGCCCAGGGUAGCCUUGAACUUACUUUGUAGUCAAAGAUGACCUUGAAUUUCUGAUCCUUCUACCUCCACCUGAGGCCACAGGUGUGUCUUCACACUGGUAGGUGAUACUGGGAAUCAAACCCAGGGCUUUGUGCAUUCUAACACGCUUUUAUUUUUCUUUGAGAUAGUUUUCUCUGUGUAGCCUUGGCUGUCCUGGACCCAUUUGUAGACUGUGCUGGCCUCCAACUCACAGAGAUACCCCUGCCUCCCUGAAUGCUUGGAUUGCAGGCAUGCAGCCUGCACCAGGUGCACAAACACAACCAUUUACUUAUUUUAGUCAUUUAUUUAUUUUUAUUUCUUUAGGUUUUUCCAAGACAGGGUUUCUCUGUAGCUUUGGAUGUCCUAGACUCCCUUUCUAGACCAGGCUGGCCUCGAACUCAUAGAGAUCUGCCAGCCUCUGCCUCUCAGAGUGCUCUGAUCACAGGCGUGCACCACUGGUUUUUUAUUUUUUAGAGACAAGGCCUCUCUAUGUAGCCCUCACUGUCCUAAGAAUUCUAUGUAGGGCUCCAACUCACAGAAAUACACCUGCCUCUCCCAAGUGCUGGGACUAAGUUCAUGCAACAUCAUGUCCAGCUCAUACGUGAGUUUAAAGAAAGAGUGUUUAACAGCGAAAGGGUUUUCAAUAAUCAUAAAAUUGCUAAGGCUAAGAGAUCGAAAAACAGUGGGAGCAUGCACUGGCACAUUGCGACCACUAGGGGGCGGACAAGGUGAUCCAGAAAUGCCUGAGACAGGAGCAGAGGACACAACUCCAGAAGGGGGGAGUGUGACAAGCACUUGUGGGCCUCAAGGACAAUGCCCAGCAGCGAAGGCCACAUACAGUAAGUGGAAUCUAGGCCAGAAGUCACACAGACUAAAGGAUGUGGGUAGGUGGAGAGUCCUCUUCCCUCAAGGCUACAGUACCUGCCACUCCUGUUCGUGUCCUGUCAGAAUUUGGAGCUGGAGGUGAAGCUCUUACUUUUGGAGCCACAUGGGUCUCUCGGGGAAGCGAACAAAAGCUGUGCGAUUCAGCCUGUACCUGCACACCAAGGCGCAGUCAUCAGGCCUCUGAUGACAGCCUCUAAUACUGCCUUACGCCCACAGAACUUUCUAUUUCAGCUCUUUAGUGACAGUCCUUCCCUACUCCAACUCACAAAACUGUUGCCAUGAUUACAAGAAAGAAUGUCAACGGGCCAGCACUAGUCCGCCUCUAGUUUGACAGAGAAAGACUUUAAGGGAGAAUUCUAGCCAGAUCCUGAAAAAGGUAUCUAAUCAAAAAGGAAACUCUUAAGAAUGACAUGCUAGCUGGCACGGUGGCACACGUCCAGGACAGCCAGGGCUACACAGAGAAGCCCUGUCUCACAAACCAACCAAACGAAAAAAGAUGUUCAGCAUCAGCAGUUCUCCACAAAUGGUUGCCAAAAACAUGGCCUGGACACAAGCAAACCCCAGGUUUCCACACUCUGCACCUAUAUGAUGUAUCUGGACCCUUUUAUGGUUUUUCUCCAGGAUCCAGCAUUUUCUUUGGCUAGCAAGAUGACUCAUGGGAUAAAAACACAAGCCAUCAAGCUUGACAACCUGAGUUUGGUCCUCAUGACCCACAUAGGAAAAAAACUGACCCCUGACAUUUGUCCUUUGACCUCCACAUGGAGUAGUAGGGCACAUGCAGCCUGCCCCAUAAAAAGUAAAAUUUAAGAAUUAAGGAGGUAUAUGUGGGGGGUGUAGAUUUCCAGGUUUGGCACUUGUUCUGGGAUCAGGAAGUGAAGUUGUAAGCUGUGGUUCUCUAUUAUGCUUUCCUGUCCAUCCCCUGCAGUGUUCUGCUGGCCAUUAGGAGCUGCUACAAGUUAUAGCCUCGGUGUCGGCAGCCCAUCCUCUGUCACUGUGGACCGGGACUCAGGCUUCCAGCACUUGCACUGGUGUCUAAAGCAGUUUCCAAACUGGUCUCUGAACAGUGUGUCUUGUAUGUAGUUAGGCAUGUCCUAACUACACGAGGGGACGUGAGGUGUGUCCUCUGGCCUCCACAUGGGGCAGUGGACGAGGGGGUGAGGGGAAGUGUGCAAAGGACUGAGCCCACUGUCAGGCUCAGUGCCGGUUCAGGAGGAAGUAACCAUUGUAGUGGUCCCCAGUUUAAGGCCCUGGGCUCCGUGCCCCAGUCGCGUCCCCUGCUGGGCUCUGAGAACUAGGCUCCCCUCCGACUAGAGAAGGCUGGUUCACACUAACUUGGGCACCGAUUCCCAUGCCAUCCACUCCUCAAUAGGCCUGGAACACCAAGUGGGCCACCAGUGCCACCUCCCUGAAGCAGGAAAGCAGAUUAAUUUGAGCAUGAAGUCACUAUUUCUCUUCCAGUGUGGUUUCCCACUUCAAGGUGCUGUUCUCCCAAUCCUGAAAAUCCUGUCCUUAGGACCCAGGCUCUGGUUACUUCUUUGAGGAACCUGCAGAGGAAUCUUAAUCCAGCAACUGUGUUUACUCUGACAGGAUUACAGACACUCCUUUAACCCCAGGAGACAGAGGCAAGCAGAUCUCUGAGUUCAAGGCCAGCCUGGUAUAGAGCAAGUUUCAGGUAGAGAAAAGCUUAGGUCGAGGCAUGGUGGUAUAUGCCAUCAAUUUCAGCACUCAGGAGACAGGCAUACAGAUCUCUGAGUUCUAGUCAGUGCUGCUCAGGCGGUUCUGCUGAGUCAGUUGAGAGGGAGUGCAGUAGAGUUGAGUUUGUGGCAGUUCAGUUCAUGAAAUUCAGAAGCGCUUUUACUGGGAGAGUUUUACAGGGACAGGUUGUACAGGGAACAGACUAGACACAGGUGAAGAUAGAAUGAUCCAGACAAUGACAUGGAGCCAGAAGAUUAGUAGAUUGAUAGUUUGAGGCCAAGCAGAGGAAUUCAGUCAGAAGCUGAGAGAAGCCAGUUUGAAUCAGUCAGCUAGAAGAAGAGUUUUAAGCCAGACAGCUGGGUAGAGCCAGCCAGCCAGACUUCAGAAAGAGCUAGAAAGUGUGAGCUUAUUCAGAAUUAAGUCUCAGAGCUGAAAACAUUCUAGACCUAGAUUAGAUUAUACAGAGAUUAGAAGCUUCCAAGAGUAAGCCUAGGUAAGCAAUGGAGGGAGUAAGCCUCCGAGACUACAAUUUCUUCUAAACAAUAAAAGAUACUUCUACAGGAACCCA
Molecule: long non-coding RNA, 4455 nt
Organism: Meriones unguiculatus (Mongolian gerbil)
Lineage: Eukaryota; Metazoa; Chordata; Mammalia; Rodentia; Muridae
Exons: 2
Source: RefSeq, a predicted model, not a curated record